Passer montanus (Eurasian tree sparrow) is the source of this 1426-nucleotide long non-coding RNA. RefSeq lists it as uncharacterized. The transcript has 2 exons. NCBI's taxonomy places the organism in Eukaryota, Metazoa, Chordata, Aves, Passeriformes, Passeridae. The record is from RefSeq and is a predicted model, not a curated record.
AUCUGAAAGAACAAUCAGAUAAGGCUGAUUUCUGAAGACAGUUCAGAAUGAACAGAUCUCAGUUGCCCCCAGUGAUAACCAUCAUUGUCAACAGGAGGCAUUCCAGAAUGCAAUGGAUGAUGAGUAUUUAGAAGAAGAAUGAACCCUGAAGGAGAAUAAAGCUCAAGCCUCAGAGACCAUCACUGAACACCAGAAGGACAGAAUAAUUUAAGGUUACGGUGGGGAAUUUCAUGCACACAGAAAACCUAAAUCUGUGAAAAAUGGAAUGAUAGAACUCAGGAGUUACAGUCUACAAAAUGAAAAUUAAAAUCAUUUAAAGGCCUUGGCCCUAAUGGGCUUUUGUCCAGGUUAGUGAACAUUCUGUCAGAGUUCAGCAACACUAAGUGCUUUUUCAUAGGGAAGACUCAGAACUGCAAUAUUUUGCAAAGAUGAUAAUCAAAGUUGAGGAGUCUGGAUUACACCGGUAUGCAGAAAUGCUAAUAGGUGACUUCUGUAAGCCAUAUCACUUAAAAGUGCUAUCAGUCUCUCUACACACCAUCUUCAGCUCUCAAUCUUUGAAGAAAGUAUUGAUUUUUGGCAGGGUGUGACAACUUGGUUUUACAUGACUCAGGUACAUUGUACAAAGCUCACUGAGCAAGGCAAAAUUCCAGGCAGUUGCUAUGAGAACCAACUGUUUACAAAUAUAAAAUUUAUAAUAUUUUUUCUAGUUUACGGGUACUAACACCUCACCUGUUGUACAAUGCUGCUGAUUUUUUAAAUUAGUAGUUAACUUUGUGAUCAUCUAAGUUGGUAUUGAUAGUUUAACGAACUUCAAAAAUAUAAAAAAAAUACUAUUAUCAUUAAUCAAGGAUAAUGAGCUUUGAAUGAGCAGAUGCUAAUGAAUUAAUGGUCAGAGGUUUUUUUAUGUGCUUGUAAUUGCUACUGCAAAAUACUUGUUAUUCCUCAUCUAUUCCUCCUUUAAAUAAUUUGCUCUGCCUACUAAACCUGGAUAUUCAACCUAAACACAUUGGCUCCUAUCCCCCUGCUGGUGCCAUUGUUGCUUUCAUGGGGUUUGGAUGAAGGCCUUAGUCUGUUUUUACUCUCAUAACUGGAGCAGAGUUUAAUUUCAGAGAGUUUCCAAAUAGGAGCUCCGUAAACAUAUUUUUCCCCCAGCAGAGAAGAGAAACAUGGAAUUGCUGUAGGUUGAGUCAAACUAUACUGUUAUUUGUGAGUGUGUGGGCAACAUUUCUUUUGUUUAAAUCUAAGAAUAUCUUAAAAUUAUAUAACUUUUACUAGUGUCUGACCAGACUUCAGUAGAACGUAGUGAAUCUCGUAGUCCAGUAGAAUUUAUCAGUGUUGAUAGAUCAAAUUCAGGUGCUGAUGAGUUAAUGAACAGGUUUGUUAUUAUGGAUGUCUGUGAGUAAUAAAGAAGAUAAAUCAAAACAUA